Molecule: ribosomal RNA, 253 nt
Filed under: uncultured bacterium
Lineage: Bacteria
Description: partial 16S ribosomal RNA
Rfam family: Bacterial small subunit ribosomal RNA
Source: RNAcentral
UACGUAGGGUGCAAGCGUUAAUCGGAAUUACUGGGCGUAAAGCGUGCGCAGGCGGUUGUGCAAGACCGAUGUGAAAUCCCCGGGCUUAACCUGGGAAUGGCAUUGGUGACUGCACGGCUAGAGUGUGUCAGAGGGGGGUAGAAUUCCACGUGUAGCAGUGAAAUGCGUAGAGAUGUGGAGGAAUACCGAUGGCGAAGGCAGCCCCCUGGGAUAACACUGACGCUGAGGCACGAAAGCGUGGGGAGCAAACAGG